This 354-nucleotide unclassified non-coding RNA is filed under the name soil metagenome. RNAcentral's name for it is "partial contains 5.8S ribosomal RNA, internal transcribed spacer 2, and large subunit ribosomal RNA". The stretch from base 1 to 120 matches the Rfam family "5.8S ribosomal RNA", at positions 35 to 154 of the family's 154-position model. The record is from RNAcentral.
GAUGAAGAACGUAGUGAAAUGCGAUAAGUAAUGUGAAUUGCAGAAUUCAGUGAAUCAUCGAAUCUUUGAACGCACAUUGCGCCCGCCAGUAUUCUGGCGGGCAUGCCUGUCCGAGCGUCAUUUCAACCCUCGAACCCCUCCGGGGGGUCGGCGUUGGGGAUCGGCCCUGCCUCUUGGCGGUGGCCGUCUCCGAAAUACAGUGGCGGUCUCGCCGCAGCCUCUCCUGCGCAGUAGUUUGCACACUCGCAUCGGGAGCGCGGCGCGUCCACAGCCGUUAAACACCCAACUUCUGAAAUGUUGACCUCGGAUCAGGUAGGAAUACCCGCUGAACUUAAGCAUAUCAUAAGCGGAGGA